AAACACAUAAGGUUUCCAUACCCCGUCCGGUAUGAGAAACCACGUUCCCGGUAGGGUUCCCUACGGACCCGGUCUGUCCACCAUCUCCUAGGAUAUCUAGUCAGGCUGUCCACAUUUUCCACUUAUCAAUUCACAUAACCUUUUUGCCUUUUUCCUUAAUCUCAAUAAUCCAAUCAUACACAACAUGUAAACCAGUAAUUGACACCAAACAAGACAACACAGUAUCGGGUUCACCAUAAUACAAACUAUAAUAAAAGAAAGCAUGAUUCAUGCAUAUGAGACCAUAACAUAAUUACAUCAAACAUCAUACUGCAUUUAAUACUGAAAAUUAAAUCAAACAACAACAGACCAACACUGUAUCAGACUCGGGCUCCAUUGGCAACCUCAAUCAAUUAUACAUCUAUAAAGUCUCAAAAUACUGUUUAAUUACUUAUUA
Molecule: long non-coding RNA, 436 nt
Filed under: Carica papaya (papaya)
Lineage: Eukaryota; Viridiplantae; Streptophyta; Magnoliopsida; Brassicales; Caricaceae
Description: long non-coding RNA (CPAP_LNC000188)
Source: RNAcentral